AUCAUGCUGAGGAGUCCCAUAUUAGAACGAAACGGCCGUCCAGUGAU
This is a non-coding RNA of Schistosoma mansoni, 47 nucleotides long. NCBI's taxonomy places the organism in Eukaryota, Metazoa, Platyhelminthes, Trematoda, Strigeidida, Schistosomatidae. The record is from Rfam.